RNAcentral lists this long non-coding RNA (1027 nucleotides) under Carica papaya (papaya). Its description in RNAcentral is "long non-coding RNA (CPAP_LNC010867)". Lineage: Eukaryota; Viridiplantae; Streptophyta; Magnoliopsida; Brassicales; Caricaceae. The record is from RNAcentral.
UUAUCUCGGCCUGUGGAUUGUAAUUCCUUUAGAUGUUCUCCUUUUGUUCCCUCAUUGCCUCCUCCACCUCCUUCCCCUCCAAUGCCAAUCCCUUCACCACCACCAGCACCAGUUGUCUCUCCGCCUCCGCCACCGCCUUCUCCACUACCACCUCCACCCCCGCCGCCGCCCCCGCCUUCUCCUUCACCUCCCUCUCCACCACCACCACCACCUCCACCCCCUUCUCCACCUCCACCAUCUCCUUCUCCGCCCCCACCGUCUCCUCCGCCACCUUCUCCGCCUCCCCCAUCACCUCCACCGCCGUCCCCUUCACCCCCACCACCACCGCCUCCAUCUCCUCCGCCGCCUUCACCACCACCUCCAUCUCCUCCUCCACCCUCACCAUCACCACCACCUCCAUCUCCCCCUCCACCCUCACCAUCACCACCACCUCCAUCUCCCCCUCCACCCUCACCAUCACCACCACCUCCAUCUCCCCCUCCACCCUCACCAUCACCACCCCCACCACCUUCACCGUCUCCGCCACCACCAUACUGUGUCCAUCCCCCGCCGCCACCUCCACCACAUUCGCCCCCACCACCAUCACCAGUGUUUUCUCCACCACCACCGGUUCCGUACUACUAUAGCUCCCCACCUCCGCCAUCGCCACCUCACUCGCCUCCGCCGCCUCCACAUUCUCCUCCACCACCAGCCUAUCCUUACUUGUCGCCACCGCCUCCACCAACACCAGUCUAUUCUCCACCGCCCCCGGUACAUUCUCCCCCACCGCCACCUCCUUGUAUAGAGCCACCUCCUCCGCCGCCCUGUGUAGAGUAUUCACCACCUCCACCACCAUCUCCAACUCCUUACAAGCCGCCACCCUCACCAUCUCCACCGCCUCCACCGGUUCACAAAUCACCACCGCCAGUUCAUUACAGUCCACCACCGCCAGUUCAUUACAGUUCGCCGCCACCACCAGUUCAUUACAGUUCGCCGCCACCACCAGUUCAUUAUAGUUCACCUCCACCACCGUCCCCAUCACCACCAC